Molecule: transfer-messenger RNA, 374 nt
Filed under: Betaproteobacteria bacterium
Lineage: Bacteria; Pseudomonadati; Pseudomonadota; Betaproteobacteria
Rfam family: transfer-messenger RNA
About the family: Bacterial tmRNA, also known as 10Sa RNA or SsrA, is named for its dual tRNA and mRNA-like properties.
Source: RNAcentral
GGGGGCGACCAGGUUUCGACGUGGGUAGCGAAGCAGUGCAGGGCAUACCGAGGGCCAGUCACCUCGUAAAUACAACUGGAACACUAUAAACGCAAACGACUCGCGUUACGCUCUAGCCGCUUAAUACCGGCUGGACUCUGCACCGGUUUUCUCAUGGGCCGGGCGCGCAUUUGGUAACAGGUGCCGCAGCAGAGUCAUAUUCAUGGGAUCGUGCUGUGCAGGGUCGCUUUGCACCGCAUUAAAUCCAAGGUGACUCGUCGCGUGCCAGCCCGCCGGUUGGCGUGCCCGCGGCUAAAUCAAAUAACCAGGCUAAGUAUGUAGAACUGGCUGUAGAGGACUUGCGGACGCGGGUUCGAUUCCCGCCGCCUCCACCA